GCCUGGUUAGCUCAGUGAGUAGCAUGAGACUCCUAAUCUCAGGGUUGUGGGUUUGAGCCCCCUGUCGGGCA
This 71-nucleotide transfer RNA is filed under the name Pangasianodon hypophthalmus (striped catfish). It matches the Rfam family "tRNA". From Rfam's summary of the family: Transfer RNA (tRNA) molecules are approximately 80 nucleotides in length. Their secondary structure includes four short double-helical elements and three loops (D, anti-codon, and T loops). Further hydrogen bonds mediate the characteristic L-shaped molecular structure. tRNAs have two regions of fundamental functional importance: the anti-codon, which is responsible for specific mRNA codon recognition, and the 3' end, to which the tRNAs corresponding amino acid is attached (by aminoacyl-tRNA synthetases). tRNAs cope with the degeneracy of the genetic code in two manners: having more than one tRNA (with a specific anti-codon) for a particular amino acid; and 'wobble' base-pairing, i.e. permitting non-standard base-pairing at the 3rd anti-codon position. The record is from Rfam by way of RNAcentral. Lineage: Eukaryota; Metazoa; Chordata; Actinopteri; Siluriformes; Pangasiidae.